GGGGCUGACUUGGAUUUCGACAGAUUUCUUGUCGCACAGAUAGCAUGCCAAGUGCUACUUGUAAAACAGCGACAAAAAUAACUGUAAACAACACAGAUUACGCUCCAGCUUACGCUAAAGUUGCGUGAGUUAAUCUCCUUUUGGAGCUGGACUGAUUAGAAUUUCUAGCGUUUUAAUCACUCCAUAACCUUAAGCUAGACGCUUUUAAAAGGUGGUUCGCCUUUUAAACUAAGAAACAAGAACUCUUGAAACUAUCUCAAGGUUUUAGAAAGUUGGACCAGAGCUAGUUUUAAGGCUAAAAAGCUAACCAAUUUUCUAAGCAUUGUAGAAGUUUGUGUUUAGGACAAGAUUUUUGGACUGGGGUUCGAUUCCCCACAGCUCCACC
This 385-nucleotide transfer-messenger RNA is filed under the name Helicobacter pylori 83. It matches the Rfam family "transfer-messenger RNA". From Rfam's summary of the family: Bacterial tmRNA, also known as 10Sa RNA or SsrA, is named for its dual tRNA and mRNA-like properties. Its role is to liberate the mRNA from a stalled ribosome. The record is from RNAcentral. Lineage: Bacteria; Pseudomonadati; Campylobacterota; Epsilonproteobacteria; Campylobacterales; Helicobacteraceae.